Molecule: long non-coding RNA, 332 nt
Filed under: Theobroma cacao (cacao)
Lineage: Eukaryota; Viridiplantae; Streptophyta; Magnoliopsida; Malvales; Malvaceae
Description: long non-coding RNA (TCAC_LNC006088)
Source: RNAcentral
GAAUUUUGUGCAGUUCCAGGAACCUGGGGAGGGAUAGAUGGUGGUGGUAGUGGUGGUGGUUGUUGAUGCUGCAGCACCACCACCAUGGAGGGCUCUGACAACGUUAAAGGAGGGUUAGUGGAAAGUGGAGCAGGUGCUUGAGGCACUGCUGAUGGUGGCUGCAGCUGUAGUGGUGGUUGUGGAGGAGGAGGUGCACUGCCACGAAGUAAAAGGUCAAGCCGUGGAUACAAAGGCCAAGAAGAUCCAUCAGCAGUAGCAGACUCUGAUCGAUACCUCUUCUUCAUGGACUCGAUCUUGUUCUUGCACUGAGUUUGGGUCUUUGGAGACUUGGU